CUAGGAGAGACUCUCCUUGCGUCUGAAACAGUCCAGAAACGUCCUACAACAAGUCACACAACCAAAAGCAACCUUGAAGCAAUCUGGACAUAAAAAUCAAAAACAAACAGUGUCAAAGACGAAACCCUAAAAUAGAAACU
This 140-nucleotide small RNA is filed under the name Arabidopsis thaliana (thale cress). RNAcentral describes it as "ATSL095280". Lineage: Eukaryota; Viridiplantae; Streptophyta; Magnoliopsida; Brassicales; Brassicaceae. The record is from RNAcentral.